This 432-nucleotide ribosomal RNA is filed under the name uncultured Acetobacteraceae bacterium. RNAcentral describes it as "bacterial SSU rRNA". It matches the Rfam family "Bacterial small subunit ribosomal RNA", at positions 342 to 791 of the family's 1533-position model. Lineage: Bacteria; Pseudomonadati; Pseudomonadota; Alphaproteobacteria; Acetobacterales; Acetobacteraceae. The record is from RNAcentral.
CGGGGGGCAGCAGUGGGGAAUAUUGGACAAUGGGCGCAAGCCUGAUCCAGCAAUGCCGCGUGAGUGAAGAAGGUCUUCGGAUUGUAAAGCUCUUUCGACGGGGACGAUGAUGACGGUACCCGUAGAAGAAGCCCCGGCUAACUUCGUGCCAGCAGCCGCGGUAAUACGAAGGGGGCUAGCGUUGCUCGGAAUGACUGGGCGUAAAGGGCGCGUAGGCGGUUCGUACAGUCGGAUGUGAAAUUCCCGGGCUCAACCUGGGGGCUGCAUUCGAUACGUACGGGCUUGAGUUCGGAAGAGGGUCGUGGAAUUCCCAGUGUAGAGGUGAAAUUCGUAGAUAUUGGGAAGAACACCGGUGGCGAAGGCGGCGACCUGGUCCGAUACUGACGCUGAGGCGCGAAAGCGUGGGGAGCAAACAGGAUUAGAUACCCCAGU